ACUUUCAACAACGGAUCUCUUGGUUCUGGCAUCGAUGAAGAACGCAGCAAAAUGCGAUAAGUAAUGUGAAUUGCAGAAUUCAGUGAAUCAUCGAAUCUUUGAACGCACAUUGCGCCCGCCAGUAUUCUGGCGGGCAUGCCUGUUCGAGCGUCAUUUCAAC
This 160-nucleotide ribosomal RNA is filed under the name Fusarium equiseti. RNAcentral's name for it is "5.8S ribosomal RNA". It matches the Rfam family "5.8S ribosomal RNA". From Rfam's summary of the family: 5.8S ribosomal RNA (5.8S rRNA) is a component of the large subunit of the eukaryotic ribosome. It is transcribed by RNA polymerase I as part of the 45S precursor that also contains 18S and 28S rRNA. The record is from RNAcentral. Lineage: Eukaryota; Fungi; Ascomycota; Sordariomycetes; Hypocreales; Nectriaceae.